Manis pentadactyla (Chinese pangolin) is the source of this 948-nucleotide long non-coding RNA. RefSeq lists it as uncharacterized. The transcript is spliced from 4 exons. The record is from RefSeq and is a predicted model, not a curated record. Lineage: Eukaryota; Metazoa; Chordata; Mammalia; Pholidota; Manidae.
CGUUUCCUGAUGUGGCCCGUACUUACCACAAGCCAGCUCUCUUACUGUCUCCUCUACUGUACUCCAAGGCUGGGCUUUCAGUUCUCUAAAACAGCAAAGCCUACUCUCCUUUAGGGCAUUUGCUUCUGCCCACAUGCCGCUUCCAGACUUCUCACAACUCCUUCUCCUGGAAAGUACCCCCUUCCCCUUAACAGGCAGUUUGGUGGGGCAGGUGCCUUGUGCAUACCUACAUCGCUGCAUUCUGUUUGCUUGUCUUUCUCACUCACUGGAUUCUAAGUUUCCACAGGGCAACACCUGAUGAGUGAUCAGCAGUUACUGUUGUCAGAAGAGGUAAUGAAUGAGAGAGUGAAUGGGAAGCAGCCUCCAUGUAUUUGAUGCUGAUGUGGACAUCUCGUUUAUUUUCUCUCAUUGAAUCCUAACCAAGAUUUUAUGAGGUAGGCAUCAUUAUACCUCUUUUCCAGAGAAGGAGACAAAAGUCCAAUGAAUUCAGGAAUUUGGAUCACCCUCAAGAGCCCCCAAAACAUAGGCUGCAAAAAGGGCCUGGAUUCAUCUGCGUUGAAAUCCCAUGAGAAUUUUUACAGGUUGAACCAAAACAGAAUAAUGAAAUGAACCCUCCCGGGCAGGAGACAGGAAGGCAGAAGCAGACAUAAAAGAUUAUUUCUCUGCAUUAUUUGGCCUCUAUGGAGAGAACCAUGAUGAGCUUCUGGGAAAUGCAGUAUUGAUGUGACGUAAUAGCGAGGCUCCCCAGCCAGUGUACCCCCUGCCUAUGGAAUCUUGGCUGCCCCUCAGAGGAUGCUGAAGUGUGGAAGAGGCUUGGAUUUCAGACCAGACUGGCAGACUGAGAGCCUGUUCACAGACCAUUACUGACAGCAAAGACUUUCUGUUUGUCACACCAAAACUCCGUUCAGCGUGUGAGACCAGGAGCUUGGAGGCAGCAUCUUCACCAUG